GACUGAGUAGUGUAAGGGUUACACAUCUGCACGAUAUUUGUGGUACAAUACACAAUAUUUCUGCAGAGCACUCGGGUUCAAUUCCCACCUCAGGCA
Non-coding RNA from Mycena polygramma, 96 nucleotides. Lineage: Eukaryota; Fungi; Basidiomycota; Agaricomycetes; Agaricales; Mycenaceae. The record is from the annotation of a GenBank genome assembly.